UACGUAGGGGGCAAGCGUUGUCCGGAAUCAUUGGGCGUAAAGCGCGUGUAGGCGGCUCGAUAAGUCUGCUGUGAAAGUCCAGGGCUCAACCCUGGAAUGCCGGUGGAAACUGUCGAGCUAGAGUCCGGAAGAGGCGAGUGGAAUUCCUGGAGUAGCGGUGAAAUGCGCAGAUAUCAGGAGGACCACCAAUGGCGAAGGCAGCUUGCCAGAACGCGCUCGACGGUGAGGGAUGAAAGCUGGGGGAGCAAACCGG
This 253-nucleotide ribosomal RNA is filed under the name uncultured bacterium. RNAcentral's name for it is "partial 16S ribosomal RNA". It matches the Rfam family "Bacterial small subunit ribosomal RNA", at positions 524 to 776 of the family's 1533-position model. The record is from RNAcentral.